CCUACGGGAGGCAGCAGUGGGGGAUAUUGCACAAUGGGGGGAACCCUGAUGCAGCGACGCCGCGUGGGUGAAGACGCGCCUCGGCGCGUAAAGCCCUGUCUGCAGGGAAGAAAAUGACGGUACCUGAAGAAGAAGCCCCGGCUAAUUACGUGCCAGCCGCCGUGGUAAGAAGUAGGGGGCAGGCGUUAUCCGGAUUUACUGGGUGUAAUGGGGGCGCAGUCGGCGAUGCAAGCCAGGAGUGAAAGGCCGGGGCCAAACCCCGGGACUGCUCUUGGAACUGCGUGGCUGGAGUGCAGGAGGGGCAGGCGGAAUUGCUGGUGUAGCGGUGAAAUGCGUAGAUAUCAGGAGGAACACCGGUGGCGAAGGCGGCCUGCUGGACUGCAACUGACGUUGAGGCCCGAAAGCGUGGGGAGCAAACAGGAUUAGAUACCCGGGUAGUC
RNAcentral lists this ribosomal RNA (440 nucleotides) under uncultured bacterium. RNAcentral describes it as "partial 16S ribosomal RNA". It matches the Rfam family "Bacterial small subunit ribosomal RNA", at positions 338 to 795 of the family's 1533-position model. The record is from RNAcentral.